Molecule: transfer RNA, 43 nt
Filed under: Rhytidodera bowringii
Lineage: Eukaryota; Metazoa; Arthropoda; Insecta; Coleoptera; Cerambycidae
Description: partial tRNA-Leu
Source: RNAcentral
CUGGAUUUAAACCCCAAAUAUAAAGCUUAAACUUUUUUUAGAA